UACAGAGGCCACAAGCGUUAGUCGGAAUCACUGGGCUUAAAGGGUGCGUAGGCGGAGUUGUAAGUGUUCUGUGAAAGCCCCCGGCUCAACCGGGGAACAGCAGGGCAUACUGCAAUUCUCGAGGAACGUAGGGGCGGGCAGAACAGUAGGUGGAGCGGUGAAAUGCGUAGAUAUCUACUGGAAUGCCGAUGGGGAAGCCGGCCCGCUGGGCGUUUCCUGACGCUGAGGCACGAAAGCGUGGGGAUCAAACAGG
Molecule: ribosomal RNA, 253 nt
Filed under: uncultured prokaryote
Description: partial 16S ribosomal RNA
Rfam family: Bacterial small subunit ribosomal RNA
Source: RNAcentral